This 76-nucleotide transfer RNA is filed under the name Actinomycetes bacterium. RNAcentral describes it as "Actinobacteria bacterium tRNA-Arg". It matches the Rfam family "tRNA". Rfam says of the family: Transfer RNA (tRNA) molecules are approximately 80 nucleotides in length. Their secondary structure includes four short double-helical elements and three loops (D, anti-codon, and T loops). Further hydrogen bonds mediate the characteristic L-shaped molecular structure. tRNAs have two regions of fundamental functional importance: the anti-codon, which is responsible for specific mRNA codon recognition, and the 3' end, to which the tRNAs corresponding amino acid is attached (by aminoacyl-tRNA synthetases). tRNAs cope with the degeneracy of the genetic code in two manners: having more than one tRNA (with a specific anti-codon) for a particular amino acid; and 'wobble' base-pairing, i.e. permitting non-standard base-pairing at the 3rd anti-codon position. Lineage: Bacteria; Bacillati; Actinomycetota; Actinomycetes. The record is from RNAcentral.
AGGGCAGUAGCUCAGAAGGGAGAGCGCGUGAUUGCGUAUCACGAGGCCGCGGGUUCGAUCCCCUUCCGCUCUACCU